AACGAACGCUGGCGGCAUGCCUAACACAUGCAAGUCGAACGAGACCUUCGGGUCUAGUGGCGCACGGGUGCGUAACGCGUGGGAACCUGCCCUUAGGUUCGGAAUAACUCCCCGAAAGGGGUGCUAAUACCGGAUAAUGUCUUCGGACCAAAGAUUUAUCGCCUUUGGAUGGGCCCGCGUUGGAUUAGCCAGUUGGUAGGGUAAAAGCCUACCAAGGCGACGAUCCAUAGCUGGUCUGAGAGGAUGAUCAGCCACACUGGGACUGAGACACGGCCCAGACUCCUACGGGAGGCAGCAGUGGGGAAUAUUGGACAAUGGGCGAAAGCCUGAUCCAGCAAUGCCGGGUGAGUGAUGAAGGCCUUAGGGUUGUAAAGCUCUUUUACCCGGGAUGAUAAUGACAGUACCGGGAGAAUAAGCACCGGCUAACUCCGUG
This 433-nucleotide ribosomal RNA is filed under the name uncultured bacterium. Its description in RNAcentral is "partial 16S ribosomal RNA". It matches the Rfam family "Bacterial small subunit ribosomal RNA", at positions 29 to 507 of the family's 1533-position model. The record is from RNAcentral.